CCUACGGGAGGCAGCAGUGAGGAAUAUUGGUCAAUGGACGAGAGUCUGAACCAGCCAAGUAGCGUGAAGGAUGACUGCCCUAUGGGUUGUAAACUUCUUUUAUAUGGGAAUAAAACGUUCCACGUGUGGGAUUUUGUAUGUACCAUAUGAAUAAGGAUCGGCUAACUCCGUGCCAGCAGCCGCGGUAAUACGGAGGAUCCGAGCGUUAUCCGGAUUUAUUGGGUUUAAAGGGAGCGUAGGUGGAUUGUUAAGUCAGUUGUGAAAGUUUGCGGCUCAACCGUAAAAUUGCAGUUGAAACUGGCAGUCUUGAGUACAGUAGAGGUGGGCGGAAUUCGUGGUGUAGCGGUGAAAUGCUUAGAUAUCACGAAGAACUACGAUUGCGAAGGCAGUUCACUGGACUGCAACUGACACUGAGGCUCGAAAGUGUGGGUAUCAAACAGGAUUAGAUACCCUUGUAGUC
RNAcentral lists this ribosomal RNA (460 nucleotides) under uncultured bacterium. RNAcentral's name for it is "partial 16S ribosomal RNA". It matches the Rfam family "Bacterial small subunit ribosomal RNA", at positions 338 to 795 of the family's 1533-position model. The record is from RNAcentral.